RNAcentral lists this long non-coding RNA (207 nucleotides) under Mytilus galloprovincialis (Mediterranean mussel). The record is from RNAcentral. Lineage: Eukaryota; Metazoa; Mollusca; Bivalvia; Mytilida; Mytilidae.
CUUUUAUUCCAAGUAGUUGCUGAACCAUGAAAAAUGAGGUCAAGGUCAAUGGACAUGUGACAGAUGGAAACUUCACAUCAUAAGGCAUCCAUGUCUUGUGCUUUCUGAAAUAUAAAGCUUUUAAGAAGUUAUCCAACACCGCUGGCAUCACUAUACCGGUCAGGCUUUCAGCAACUGGCCUCCAACUCAAAAACACAAAAACUUGAC